AGUGAACGCUGGCGGUAGGCCUAACACAUGCAAGUCGAACGGCAGCACAAUAAGAGCUUGCUCUUACGGGUGGCGAGUGGCGGACGGGUGAGGCAUACAUCGCAAUCUACUUUUUCUUGGGUGAUAACGUAGGGAAACUUCCGCUAAUACCGCAUAUGUCCUACGGGUUGAAGCAGUAGAUCUUCGGGCCUUGGCUGUUUCAUUUAGCUGAUGUCGGAUUAGCUAGUUGGCGGGGUAAAGGCCCACCAAGGCGACGAUGCGUAGCUGGUCUGAGAGGAUGAUCAGCCACACUGGAACUGAGACACGGUCCAGACUCCUACGGGAGGCAGCAGUGGGGAAUAUUGGACAAUGGGCGCAAGCCUGAUCCAGCCAUACCGCGUGAGUGAAGAAGGUCUUCGGGUUGUAAAGCCCUUUUGUUGGGAAAGAAAAGCAGUAGGUGAAUACCUCGAUGUUCUGACGGUACCCAAAGAAUAAGCAACGGCUAACUUCGUG
This 492-nucleotide ribosomal RNA is filed under the name uncultured bacterium. RNAcentral describes it as "partial 16S ribosomal RNA". It matches the Rfam family "Bacterial small subunit ribosomal RNA", at positions 29 to 507 of the family's 1533-position model. The record is from RNAcentral.